GCUUGCUUCGCCAGCACAUAUACUAAAAUUGGAACGAUACAGAGAAGAUUAGCAUGGCCCCUGCACAUGGAUACUCCGGUGGAAAACAUUUAUUUUAUUUUU
This is a small nuclear RNA of Hyla sarda, 102 nucleotides long. NCBI's taxonomy places the organism in Eukaryota, Metazoa, Chordata, Amphibia, Anura, Hylidae. The record is from RefSeq and is a predicted model, not a curated record.